AUACGGAGGGGGUUAGCGUUGUUCGGAAUUACUGGGCGUAAAGCGUGCGUAGGCGGACUAUUAAGUCAGAGGUGAAAUCCCGGGGCUCAACCCCGGAACUGCCUUUGAUACUGGUAGUCUUGAGGUCGAGAGAGGUGAGUGGAAUUCCUAGUGUAGAGGUGAAAUUCGUAGAUAUUAGGAGGAACACCAGUGGCGAAGGCGGCUCACUGGCUCGAUUCUGACGCUGAGGUACGAAAGUGUGGGGAGCAAACAGGAUUAGAAACCCUAGUAGUCC
RNAcentral lists this ribosomal RNA (274 nucleotides) under uncultured bacterium. RNAcentral's name for it is "partial 16S ribosomal RNA". It matches the Rfam family "Bacterial small subunit ribosomal RNA", at positions 523 to 796 of the family's 1533-position model. The record is from RNAcentral.